Molecule: unclassified non-coding RNA, 323 nt
Filed under: soil metagenome
Description: partial contains 5.8S ribosomal RNA, internal transcribed spacer 2, and large subunit ribosomal RNA
Rfam family: 5.8S ribosomal RNA (bases 1-120)
Source: RNAcentral
GAUGAAGAACGUAGCGAAAUGCGAUAAGUAAUGUGAAUUGCAGAAUUCAGUGAACCAUCGAAUCUUUGAACGCACAUUGCGCCCUGUGGUAUUCCGCAGGGCAUGCCUGUUCGAGCGUCAUUUCAACCCUCAAGCUCUGCUUGGUGUUGGGCCCUGCCCGCUGCGGCCGGCCCUAAAGACAGUGGCGGUGCCGCCUGGCCCUGAGCGUAGUACAUCUCUCGCUCCAGUGCCCGGUGGUAGCCUGCCAGAACCCCAACUCUCGUGGUUGACCUCGGAUCAGGUAGGGAUACCCGCUGAACUUAAGCAUAUCAAUAAGCGGAGGA